AAAACACAAAGGAACGSGCGGGGCNMCGCACACSCGGUGGKGUAKKUGGUKUAAWKKGAUGCRACGCGMAGAMMSUUACSUGGUGGUGSMAUCCACUGAAGUUGWCAGAGAUGAGARKGUGCCUUCGGYAACSGYGMGACAGGGGSUGCAUGGYSGUCGUCAGCUCGUGUUGUGAAWKGUUGGGUUAAGUCCCGCAACGAGCGCAACCCUUAUCCUUUGUUGCCAGCGGUCCGGCCGGGAACUCAAAGGAGACUGCCAGUGAUAAACUGGAGGAAGGUGGGGAUGACGUCAAGUCAUCAUGGCCCUUACGACCAGGGCUACACACGUGCUACAAUGGCGCAUACAAAGAGAAGCGACCUCGCGAGAGCAAGCGGACCUCAUAAAGUGCGUCGUAGUCCGGAUUGGAGUCUGCAACUCGACUCCAUGAAGUCGGAAUCGCUAGUAAUCGUGGAUCAGAAUGCCACGGUGAAUACGUUCCCGGGCCUUGUACACACCGCCCGUCACACCAUGGGAGUGGGUUGCAAAAGAAGUAGGUAGCUUAACCUUCGGGAGGGCGCUUACCACUUUGUGAUUCAUGACUGGGGUGAAGUCGUAACAAGGUAACCGUAGGGGAACCUGCGGUUGGAUCACCUCCUUACCUUAAAGAAGC
This 649-nucleotide ribosomal RNA is filed under the name Escherichia coli. RNAcentral's name for it is "partial 16S ribosomal RNA". It matches the Rfam family "Bacterial small subunit ribosomal RNA", at positions 896 to 1533 of the family's 1533-position model. Lineage: Bacteria; Pseudomonadati; Pseudomonadota; Gammaproteobacteria; Enterobacterales; Enterobacteriaceae. The record is from RNAcentral.